CAGCGCCACGAGUGGGAACCAUGUUUAUUUGGCCUAAAGCGUCCGUAGCUGGUUUGGUAAAUCCUUUGUGAAAUCAUUCGGCUUAACCGAAUGGCGUGCAGAGGAGACUACCAGACUCGAGACCGGGAGGAGUCAGGGGUAUUCUGUGGUGAGCGGUAAAAUGCAAUAAUCCUCAGAGGACCACCUGUGGCGAAGGCGCCUGACUAGAACGGUUCUGACAGUGAGGGACGAAAGCUAGGGGAGCGAUCCGGAUUAGAUACCCGAGUAGUCC
Molecule: ribosomal RNA, 271 nt
Filed under: uncultured archaeon
Lineage: Archaea
Description: partial 16S ribosomal RNA
Rfam family: Archaeal small subunit ribosomal RNA
Source: RNAcentral